This 98-nucleotide transfer RNA is filed under the name Candidatus Thorarchaeota archaeon. RNAcentral's name for it is "tRNA-Arg". It matches the Rfam family "tRNA". Rfam says of the family: Transfer RNA (tRNA) molecules are approximately 80 nucleotides in length. Their secondary structure includes four short double-helical elements and three loops (D, anti-codon, and T loops). The record is from RNAcentral. RNAcentral also lists the same sequence under 1 other name. Lineage: Archaea; Promethearchaeati; Candidatus Thorarchaeota.
GGGCCCGUUGCCUAGCCCGGAUAGGGCACCAGCCUCCUAGUGCUGAGUCUCAGCAGAGAGAUAGUUGGUUUUCGCCGGUUCGAAUCCGGCCGGGCCCG